AGAGUUAAACAGUACGUGAAAUUGUUGAAAGGGAAACGAUUGAAGCCAAUCGUACUUCGGGAAAUCAACCUUUCUGGCGCGAUUAUGUGGGUGUGUUGGAGCCUAAUCAGCCCUCAUGUCUUUAUAUUUGUUCCUUUUGGGUGUACUUGCCCGUGCGGUAGGUUAACAUCAAUUUCGGACGUCAUAAAAUGGCGGGAGGAAUGUAGCUUCGGUCUCGGCUGAAGUGUUAUAGCCUCUGGUAGAUGUGACGUUUGGGAUUGAGGAUUGCAACGGAUACCUCUCGGGGCUACCUGUCUGGCCUCUGAUGAUUGCUUUGGUGCCGAAAGCUUGCUUACGGUCAUCAAAGUUGAUUGUCAAAAGGUUAGAACGGGUUAAAUUCGUUAAGGAUGUUGACGUAAUGGCUUUAAACGACC
RNAcentral lists this ribosomal RNA (413 nucleotides) under Sclerocystis sinuosa. RNAcentral describes it as "partial large subunit ribosomal RNA". Lineage: Eukaryota; Fungi; Glomeromycota; Glomeromycetes; Glomerales; Glomeraceae. The record is from RNAcentral.